CGAGCAACAGCCGGCCGUGGAGUUCGUGAGCGCCGCCCGCAUGCGCGGCACCCACCACGAGCAGUCGCCCCCGGAGGAGUCGCCGGCGGAGGCGGCGCGCC
Nothoprocta perdicaria is the source of this 101-nucleotide long non-coding RNA. RefSeq lists it as uncharacterized. The transcript has 2 exons. The record is from RefSeq and is a predicted model, not a curated record. NCBI's taxonomy places the organism in Eukaryota, Metazoa, Chordata, Aves, Tinamiformes, Tinamidae.